CCUACGGGGGGCAGCAGUGGGGAAUAUUGCACAAUGGGGGAAACCCUGAUGCAGCGACGCCGCGUGAGUGAAGAAGUAAUUCGUUAUGUAAAGCUCUAUCAGCAGGGAAGAAAAUGACGGUACCUGAGUAAGAAGCCCCGGCUAACUACGUGCCAGCAUCCGCGGUAAUAAGUAGGGGGCAAGCGUUAUCCGGAUUUACUGGGUGUAAAGGGAGCGUAGACGGCAGUGCAAGUCUGGAGUGAAAGGCGGGGACUCAACCCCCGGACUGCUCUGGAAACUGUACGGCUGGAGUGCAGGAGAGGUAAGUGGAAUGCCUAGUGUAGCGGUGAAAUGCGUAGAUAUUAGGAGGAACACCAGUGGCGAAGGCGGCUUACUGGACUGUAACUGACGUUGAGGCUCGAAAGCGUGGGGAGCAAACAGGAUUAGAUACCCGUGUAGUC
This 440-nucleotide ribosomal RNA is filed under the name uncultured bacterium. RNAcentral describes it as "partial 16S ribosomal RNA". It matches the Rfam family "Bacterial small subunit ribosomal RNA", at positions 338 to 795 of the family's 1533-position model. The record is from RNAcentral.